This 193-nucleotide unclassified non-coding RNA is filed under the name uncultured fungus. Its description in RNAcentral is "sequence contains ITS2". Lineage: Eukaryota; Fungi. The record is from RNAcentral.
CCCCCUCUCAAGCCCGGCUUUCUGCACUGAGAGCGCGGGCCUUGGAUCGUGGCCUCUGUCGGCUCGCAUACCGAGUCGAAGGCCGAAAACGAUGUAGCGCCCUCGGGGCGCGCGGCUUGACCGGACCGAUUGUACGCACCCUUCGGAGCCGGGACGCGCGCCCUGGACGCUGCGAGCGACGACACAUGAAGAC